UACGUAGGGGGCAAGCGUUAUCCGGAUUUACUGGGUGUAAAGGGAGCGUAGACGGCAAAGCAAGUCCGGAGUGAGAGCCCGGGGCCCAACCCCGGGACUGCUCUGGAAACUGUUAAGCUGGAGUGCGGGAGGGGCAGGCGGAAUUCCUGGUGUAGCGGUGAAAUGCGUAGAUAUCAGGAGGAACACCGGCGGCGAAGGCGGCCUGCUGGACCGUGACUGACGUUGAGGCUCGAAAGUGUGGGUAUCAAACAGG
RNAcentral lists this ribosomal RNA (253 nucleotides) under uncultured bacterium. RNAcentral describes it as "partial 16S ribosomal RNA". It matches the Rfam family "Bacterial small subunit ribosomal RNA", at positions 524 to 776 of the family's 1533-position model. The record is from RNAcentral.